Molecule: small nucleolar RNA, 138 nt
Organism: Tachyglossus aculeatus (Australian echidna)
Lineage: Eukaryota; Metazoa; Chordata; Mammalia; Monotremata; Tachyglossidae
Source: RefSeq, a predicted model, not a curated record
CCCCUCUCAGGAUUGAACCUGGAGAGUUUCCAGUCCUCUACCAGUCUCGGCUACGGAAGGGAGAAUCAAGCAGAGGCAGAGCCAUUCCAUUCCUAGCUUGGGCAGUGGCUAGCGAAUGGAAGGCCAUCUACUACAAGG